UACGUAGGGUGCAAGCGUUGUCCGGAAUUAUUGGGCGUAAAGAGCUCGUAGGCGGUUUGUCGCGUCUGCUGUGAAAACCCGAGGCUCAACCUCGGGCCUGCAGUGGGUACGGGCAGACUAGAGUGCGGUAGGGGAGAUUGGAAUUCCUGGUGUAGCGGUGGAAUGCGCAGAUAUCAGGAGGAACACCAAUGGCGAAGGCAGGUCUCUGGGCAUUAACUGACGCUGAGGAGCGAAAGCAUGGGGAGCGAACAGG
RNAcentral lists this ribosomal RNA (253 nucleotides) under uncultured bacterium. RNAcentral describes it as "partial 16S ribosomal RNA". It matches the Rfam family "Bacterial small subunit ribosomal RNA", at positions 524 to 776 of the family's 1533-position model. The record is from RNAcentral.